This 548-nucleotide long non-coding RNA is filed under the name Chrysolophus pictus (golden pheasant). RNAcentral describes it as "lncRNA (ENSCPIG00010011336.1)". The record is from RNAcentral. Lineage: Eukaryota; Metazoa; Chordata; Aves; Galliformes; Phasianidae.
GGGGGCUACUAUGUACUGGGACUGCACUUAAAAGAGGUUGGCAGAAAGGCAUUGCUGUAGCUGCAGCUUCACAGAACUGCCCUUCUACUGCUUUUCUGUCUUGGCUCACUGAUGGGCCAUCAGCACAUUGUCAUGCAUCACAACAGAACAGUCAGAGGUUUUAUAACAUACCUCAUCAUUUGUUAACUUCAGGAAGAUGUCACCUAGAAUUCCUUGGCGUGGCCAGCUCAGCACUCGCUCCUGGAGAGCAUGAAGUAAAUCAACAUGCUGCUGGACCAGCCCUUCAGUUAUCCACCAGAAGUUACUGCUGGUUGUGUUGCCAUGACACUUGGAGGAGAUUGCAGUCUGUUUGCCAUCAAUUCAAAUUUUAUUCCCUGUGUCAGGCUGGCUGGCCUCCACCUCCCAGAAACACCAUCCCACCCAGCUCCUCUUCUGCAUUGCCUCCUUUUGACAAUGUAAAUUCCCAAGGUCACACUUCUGCAGCCCCCCCUACCCCAGCACAACAGCAGGAGCUAUGCAGUCAGCCUCACAGCAGUGAUUCAGAGUGA